CUUAAAUGGGUUGUAUACAGAUAACCAAGCAAAAGCAAUAUAAAAGACAUGAAAAUGAAGAUAUAUGGAUUUUGAUAGCUAAAAAGAGAAUAAAAAUUAAGAAAAAAAAAAAGGGUAGGUCAAAGGGUUAACUGGAAGGUCAAUUUUCUAGCUAUAAAAUGUUCAACCUUGCACCUCUAGUUUUAUAUGGUUUUGGUAG
RNAcentral lists this long non-coding RNA (199 nucleotides) under Elaeis guineensis (African oil palm). Its description in RNAcentral is "long non-coding RNA (EGUI_LNC020414)". The record is from RNAcentral. Lineage: Eukaryota; Viridiplantae; Streptophyta; Magnoliopsida; Arecales; Arecaceae.